Molecule: ribosomal RNA, 502 nt
Filed under: uncultured bacterium
Lineage: Bacteria
Description: partial 16S ribosomal RNA
Rfam family: Bacterial small subunit ribosomal RNA
Source: RNAcentral
GACGAACGCUGGCGGCGUGCUUAACACAUGCAAGUCGAACGGUGAAGGGGUCUGCUUUUGUGGGCCCUGGAUGAGUGGCGAACGGGUGAGUAACACGUGAGUAACCUGCCCCCUUCUUCUGGAUAACCGCAUGAAAGUGUGGCUAAUACGGGAUAUUCUGGGUCUGUCGCAUGAUGGGUCUGGCAAAGAUUGCGCCUUUGGGUGUUUUUGGUGGGGGAUGGGCUCGCGGCCUAUCAGCUUGUUGGUGGGGUGAUGGCCUACCAAGGCGGUGACGGGUAGCCGGCCUGAGAGGGUGGACGGUCACACUGGGACUGAGACACGGCCCAGACUCCUACGGGAGGCAGCAGUGGGGAAUAUUGCACAAUGGGCGCAAGCCUGAUGCAGCGACGCCGCGUGAGGGAUGGAGGCCUUCGGGUUGUAAACCUCUUUCGCCAGUGAAGCAGGCCUGCUCCUUGUGGGUGGGUUGACGGUAGCUGGAUAAGAAGCGCCGGCUAACUACGUG